RNAcentral lists this non-coding RNA (30 nucleotides) under Mus musculus (house mouse). The record is from RNAcentral. Lineage: Eukaryota; Metazoa; Chordata; Mammalia; Rodentia; Muridae.
UACCUGCUGUCAGCUGAACUUGUGUCCCCC